This 654-nucleotide ribosomal RNA is filed under the name Triticum aestivum (bread wheat). RNAcentral describes it as "partial small subunit ribosomal RNA". Lineage: Eukaryota; Viridiplantae; Streptophyta; Magnoliopsida; Poales; Poaceae. The record is from RNAcentral.
CGACCCCGAGCCCCCUGGAUCAAACCCUAGCCCCAAAAUUCCCCUCUCCCACUCACGCUUCUCCUCUGAACCUCGUGACCGAGCUGUCGUCGACGCGCCGUCGCCGUCCCCGUGGCCACUGGCCUCCCCGGCGACCGGGAGGUCAUCCAGGGACCUCCUCAUCGUCGACUCCGUCAUCCCCGUGCACCCGUUCAACCGGAGCUGCAUCGUACGCAUGGAUCGAGCCGUCUUCCCCGCCACGGCCACCGCCGUUCGUCGUUAGAUUUAUCGCCUCCCGAGCUCCCCCGACCUCCUAACCUCGUCCACGAGCAUCACGACCCCGAGACUGCCGGCGACACCCAGUUCGACUACGGUGUGGACGACUCGUCCUUCUUGCUAAGAGCAACCAGAUGCUGGAGCCCUGGAGCCAGACGCCACCGUCGACGAAGACUCCUACCACACCGGAGGUGCCUACUAAUACGUGCAGCCCGCUGACGACGACCAGGAGUAGUUAGGAGGAUCCCAGGCAGGAGGCCUGCGCCUCUUUCGAUCUGUAUCCCAGUUUGUGCUAGCCUUCUUAAGGCAAACUUGUUUAACUUAUGUCUGUACUCAGAUAUUGUUGCUUCCGCUGACUCCUCUAUGAUCGAGCACUUGUAUUCGAGCCCUCGAGGCCCC